GUUAUGCUCUGUUCAAGUUUUCAAACUCAGGUCAAUAGAACUCAGUUAUCUGUUGUGGGUAAUAGGCGAAGGAUGACAACAUAUGGACUCAUGUGACCACUUAACAAUAAAUUUAAACAAAUUUGGAUGCAUUCAAGGAAGGAUGAGAAAAUACCUUUGUCUAUCAUUUAGGGUUAGAGCAAGUUUCAGACUUGCUGAUGAAAGUGGUGGGAUGUAAGGAACACGUCCAACCUCUUGUUUACAAAUAGCUCAAAGUUCUCCGGUCAGUUCCCCGGAUUUUGACUCGAUAUGGAUGGGUUUUCGGUUGUAAGAUCGACACAAAAUUUGGGAAAAAUGGUGUGAAAUGUAGUCUUUCUAUUUACCCAGUGGUCGGAGUUGCGUCGGAGAUGGAUUGAAAAUUAGCGAUGGGUGGGUUUGGCAGUGGCGCGAGUCGACGCAAAGUAGGGUUAAAAUGGUAGAAUGAAUUCCCA
This 470-nucleotide long non-coding RNA is filed under the name Olea europaea subsp. europaea. Lineage: Eukaryota; Viridiplantae; Streptophyta; Magnoliopsida; Lamiales; Oleaceae. The record is from RNAcentral.